Molecule: ribosomal RNA, 473 nt
Filed under: uncultured bacterium
Lineage: Bacteria
Description: bacterial SSU rRNA
Rfam family: Bacterial small subunit ribosomal RNA
Source: RNAcentral
AGAGUUUGAUCCUGGCUCAGAACGUACGCUGGCGGCACGCCUAACACAUGCAAGUCGAACGAAGUAGCAAUACUUAGUGGCAGACGGGUGAGUAACAUGUAGGUAUCUGCCCUUUGGCCUGGAAUAACACGAAGAAACUUGUGCUAAUACCGGAUAAGUCUUUACGGAGAAAGCUUUAUGCACCAUUGGAUGAGCCUGCACUUGAUUAGUUUGUUGGUGGGGUAAUGGCCUACCAAGACUGUGAUCAAUAGCUGAUUUGAGAGGAUGAUCAGCCACAUUGGGACUGAGACACGGCCCAAACUCCUACGGGAGGCAGCAGUGGGGAAUCUUGCACAAUGGAGGAAACUCUGAUGCAGCGAUGCCGCGUGAGUGAAGAAGGCCCUUGGGUUGUAAAGCUCUUUCGUCGGGGAAGAAAAUGACUGUACCCGAAUAAGAAGGUCCGGCUAACUUCGUGCCAGCCGCCGCGGUAAUAC